AUUGAACGCUGGCGGCAGGCCUAACACAUGCAAGUCGAACGGUAACAGGAAGAAGCUUGCUUCUUUGCUGACGAGUGGUGGACGGGUGUGUAAUGUCUGGGAAACUGCCUGAUGGAGGGGGAUAACUACUGGAAACGGUAGCUAAUACCGCAUAACGUCGCAAGACCAAAGAGGGGGACCUUCGGGCCUCUUGCCAUCGGAUGUGCCCAGAUGGGAUUAGCUAGUAGGUGGGGUAACGGCUCACCUAGGCGACGAUCCCUAGCUGGUCUGAGAGGAUGACCAGCCACACUGGAACUGAGACACGGUCCAGACUCCUACGGGAGGCAGCAGUGGGGAAUAUUGCACAAUGGGCGCAAGCCUGAUGCAGCCAUGCCGCGUGUAUGAAGAAGGCCUUCGGGUUGUAAAGUACUUUCAGCGGGGAGGAAGGGAGUAAAGUUAAUACCUUUGCUCAUUGACGUUACCCGCAGAAGAAGCACCGGCUAACUCCGU
Molecule: ribosomal RNA, 489 nt
Filed under: uncultured bacterium
Lineage: Bacteria
Description: partial 16S ribosomal RNA
Rfam family: Bacterial small subunit ribosomal RNA
Source: RNAcentral